Oreochromis aureus is the source of this 879-nucleotide long non-coding RNA. The record is from Ensembl. Lineage: Eukaryota; Metazoa; Chordata; Actinopteri; Cichliformes; Cichlidae.
GGGUCAGAUAUAAACCGAGUUUAGGUGUAGUUUAUUUAGCAGCAGUUCUCUUAUGUGUUGCUGAUAGCCGGCUAGCUAGCUAGCUAGCGCCGCUAGCAUACUAGCUAGCGCGGCUAGCGACCCUUCGUGAAAAACCACCCAGGCUUGGCUGAUAGUGAGGUGGCUAAAAUUUGUUUAAUCGCCCGAUCGCUCGGCAAGGGUCUGUGUCUUAGCUGGACUUAUUUUUCGUUUAUAUGGGCCGAUGAUGCUGGUCGAUGUGGAAAAAAUAACUGAGUUGUUUGGUGGUGGAGCUAGCCGGAGCUACAACAGAGGGCAGCUAUCCACCGGUGUGUGACAGAAAGGACAUGCCGCGAACCACACAUAGGAGGUGGGGCAGGCGACCGCCGAUCGACCGGUGGUUGCUAACCUGGAGGUCAAUCGUGGAUCAGGGAAAGCGAAGGCAGGAGCUGAGGGGUGAACUGAAUUUCAGGUAAGAAGUUAUGAACUGCACUCUAUUUGGGUCAGAUAUAAACAGAGUUUAGGUGUAGUUUAUUUUCGUUGUGCUGACCUUUUACAAUCGUACUGCAUGCUAGCUAGCACGACAGCUGUGUGCGCGGUAAGUUACUGAGGUUUAACUUUAUUAUAUUCAUAAGGGUUGGUUCGUCAGAGUUGCCGUACAAACGGAAUCGUCCCACAUUCAGAGAAAACAUUACGAUUUAUUCUGUCGUUACGAAGCCUCCCCUGUCAUUCUCUCGCCAGUUGCAACUUCACUCAUGAAACUGAUCAACGAUCGGCUUUUCGCUCUUGUUUAUCGCGCUAAAGAACAGCAGCACGUUUAAGCUUGAUCAGCUGUUGUUAGAAUUAAUUUGAUUUUAAUUUCUAGUAUCAGCUGAUGUUUUC